Long non-coding RNA from Felis catus (domestic cat), 1309 nucleotides. RefSeq lists it as uncharacterized. The record is from RefSeq and is a predicted model, not a curated record. The transcript has 2 exons. Lineage: Eukaryota; Metazoa; Chordata; Mammalia; Carnivora; Felidae.
ACGCAAGGAUUUGUUCCAGACAUCCAUGAACAAGCCAGGACGAAGCCCUUUCCCGCCAAACCACUACGGCUGGGGAAUAAGCGGUGCCUGCCCCAACUCUGGGAGCGGGAACCCGGGAGAAGACUUGAGUGGCUCUGGAAAAACUGGCAGGAAUUUCCUUGUCGUGAGAAGACCGACGAGCGUCUGCAGAGGAGAAGACAACUGCAAACAGACUUUGGGCCAGGGAGGAGGGCGGGAGGAGGGGUGGCGGGGGCCAGCUUUGAUGGCUUCAACUCUGUUGUAAUUUUGUCUUCUCCAGAUUAGCCAAAAUAGUCAGCCCUAGCUGGGAGUUCUGUUCCGCAGAAUCCGCUCCCACCCCACCCCUCCACCCCCGCGUCAUGUGCACGCGAGGAGCUGUGUAGCUGCUCCUCCCCGAGUCACGCCUGAAACUUCCAGGGCUAAUGGUUCUGUGUUCCUGCCGUAAUUAGGAGGCCACACAGCUCUCCAACACUCCGUUAAACAAGUAUGUAAGUCAUCCUCUCCCUCUCCGGGGACAGACCGGGGGAAGGAAGGCUGCUGGGACCGCUUCGGGCGGUGUGUCCUCCGUUAGGGGAGUGGCUUGCUGUGACCCCCGGCUGCUCCUCCUGGCCCUGGUCUUUCUAAGCUCUUCCUUAGAAAGUAGAGAAAGGGGCAAAGAAUGUGCAUCUCGCCACCCACCGGACGAGCCAGGCGAGCCUGUAUCUGUGCUUGUAAAGUUUUCUAAAUAAAUUGGUUCCAAGCAGUGAUGAACAGAGGCUGAACCCGGGUCUUCUCCAGAACAGUGCAACGGAUAUAAAGAAGCUGGAGUCGUCCACCCUCUCCACCCGCCCCCCCCCCCCAAUAAAUCAGCCAUAUAAAUCAUUCGCAUUGUUUAAGGUACAUUGAUCAAUCUAAUGGCUUGUAAUAGGCUCCUAAUUGCCACUUGCAGAGUUCUGCAGGUUCCUGUCUGAAUGGGGAAGGUUUCAUUCCAGCCCAAGUCCUCCUUAAUCUGGAAACUGGGUGAUCACAGACCAAGGAAGAGCACUGCAGUGGCCAGGCCACAGUCUCAGUGCCUCAGGGGAGGGAGAAAGGGGGCUAACUGGAGAUAUUUACUAUUCUUUUUUUUUUCUUUUCUUUUCAAAGCUUACUUCCAAAUUUAUAAUUGUCUUUUUUUUCUUUAGUAAAUUAGUAAUUCUCUAAUGAGCAAAGCCCAGGCUGUGAUUUAUUGAUUAUUGCUUAUAUCAGAUGAGAAACUUUCCUUAUUUGCAUCAUUUAUAUCUGUAUGUAGAGUAAAAACUUCCUUAGCUGCAAA